AAACUAAAGUUAUACAAAACCAUUGACACUAAAGGAGAACUCAAAUAUGGAUGUUGCAUUCUGCCGGAUGGUAGAAUGGCGUUUACUUUCUACUAUGAUCAUACAGUGAACGUAUUCAGCGACAAAGGAUUAAAAGACUUUGAGGUGAAGUUGCCCAAUAUACCUUUUGAUAUAGUAUACAUAAGUGAGGACAAUACAUUAGCUGUUACAACUGGUAGAUCAAAGUGUAUUACCAUUAUAGACGUGGAGAGGAAACAAAUCAAGAAAACCAUUUCACUUGAUUCUAACAGUUAUGGCAUAGCACUUAAAGAUAAUCGAUUGAUUUAUUACGGUGGAAACAAAGGUAUACGAAUGAUCAAUCUCAACGACGAAUCUACAAGUGACAUAGUUCGGGACAAAAUGUCAUCUAACUGUUACAUUGCAACUUUUAAGGACAAAUUAUAUCAUACAAACAGAGAAACACACACAGUUACGUGUUAUAAUCUACAGGGUAAACAGCAAUGGACAUUCCAAAAUAAAAGCAUUCUGAAGGGUCCUAUGGGUAUCGAUGUUGAUA
RNAcentral lists this long non-coding RNA (556 nucleotides) under Mytilus galloprovincialis (Mediterranean mussel). The record is from RNAcentral. Lineage: Eukaryota; Metazoa; Mollusca; Bivalvia; Mytilida; Mytilidae.